UACGGAGGGCGCAAGCGUUGUUCGGAAUCACUGGGCGUAAAGCGCGUGUAGGCGGUCGGGCAAGUCGGGUGUGAAAGCCCGGGGCUCAACCCCGGAACGGCAUUCGAUACUGCCUGGCUAGAGUCCCGGAGGGGAGAGCGGAAUUCCCGGUGUAGAGGUGAAAUUCGUAGAUAUCGGGAGGAACACCAGCGGCGAAGGCGGCUCUCUGGACGGUGACUGACGCUGAGACGCGAAAGCGUGGGGAGCAAACAGG
RNAcentral lists this ribosomal RNA (253 nucleotides) under uncultured bacterium. Its description in RNAcentral is "partial 16S ribosomal RNA". It matches the Rfam family "Bacterial small subunit ribosomal RNA", at positions 524 to 776 of the family's 1533-position model. The record is from RNAcentral.